Molecule: unclassified non-coding RNA, 241 nt
Filed under: uncultured Helotiales
Lineage: Eukaryota; Fungi; Ascomycota; Leotiomycetes; Helotiales
Description: sequence contains ITS2
Source: RNAcentral
AACGCACAUUGCGCCCCUUGGUAUUCCGGGGGGCAUGCCUGUUCGAGCGUCAUUAUAACCCCUCACGCUCUGCGUGGUGUUGGGGCAUGCCCGCGAGGGCAGCCCUUAAAAUCAGUGGCGGCGCCAUCAGGCUCUAAGCGUAGUAAUUUCUCUCGCUAUAGUGCCCUGGUGGUCGCUGGCCAGAACCCCUAAUUUUUCUAUGGUUGACCUCGGAUCAGGUAGGGAUACCCGCUGAACUUAA